GUGGGGAAUUUUGGACAAUGGGCGCAAGCCUGAUCCAGCAAUGCCGCGUGCAGGAAGAAGGCGCUACGCGUUGUAAACUGCUUUUAACCGGGAAGAAACCCCAGGACGUGUCCUGGGUUGACGGUACCGGAGGAAUAAGCACCGGCUAACUUCGUGCCAGCAGCCGCGGUAAUACGAAGGGUGCAAGCGUUAUCCGGAUUCAUUGGGUUUAAAGGGUGCGUAGGCGGAGCGUUAAGCCAGUGGUGAAAUCCUGCAGCUUAACUGUAGACUUGCCAUUGAUACUGGUGCUCUUGAGUGCGCUUGAAGUGGGCGGAAUGUGCCGUGUAGCGGUGUAAUGCUUAGAUAUGGCACAGAACACCAAUUGCGAAGGCAGCUCACUAAGGCGAUACUGACGCUGAGGCACGAAAGCGUGGGGAUCGAACAGGAUUAGAAACCCGGGUAGUCC
RNAcentral lists this ribosomal RNA (445 nucleotides) under uncultured bacterium. RNAcentral describes it as "partial 16S ribosomal RNA". It matches the Rfam family "Bacterial small subunit ribosomal RNA", at positions 354 to 796 of the family's 1533-position model. The record is from RNAcentral.